UUUAUUUGAUAGCACCUUACUACAUGGAUAACUGUGGUAAUUCUAGAGCUAAAACAUGCUAAAAAUCCCGACUUCGGAAGGGAUGUGUUUAUUAGAUUAAAAACCAAUGCCCUUCGGGGCUCCUUGGUGAUUCAUGAUAACCGCUCGAAUCGCACGGCCUUGCGCCGGCGAUGGUUCAUUCAAAUUUCUUCCCUAUCAACUUUCGAUGCGAAGGUCUUGUCUUCGCAUGGUUACAACGGGUAACGGAGGGUUAGGGCUCGACCCCGGAGAAGGAGCCUGAGAAACGGCUACUACAUCCAAGGAAGGCAGCAGGCGCGCAAAUUACCCAAUCCCGACACGGGGAGGUAGUGACAAUAAAUACUGAUACAGGGCUCUUUUGGGUCUUGUAAUCGGAAUGAGUACAAUUUAAAUCCCUUAACGAGGAACAAUUGGAGGNNNNNNNNNNNNNNNNNNNNNNNNNNNNNNNNNNNNUAGCGUAUAUUAAAGUUGUUGUGGUUAAAAAGCUCGUAGUUGAACCUUGGGCCUGGCUGGCCGGUCCCCCUCACCGGGUGCACUGGUCCGGCCGGGCCUUUCCCUCUGUGGAACCGCAUGCCCUUCACUGGGUGUGCCGGGGAAACAGGACUUUUACUUUGAAAAAAUUAGAGUGCUCCAGGCAGGCCUAUGCUCGAAUACAUUAGCAUGGAAUAAUGGAAUAGGACGUGUGGUUCUAUUUUGUUGGUUUCUAGGACCGCCGUAAUGAUUAAUAGGGACAGUCGGGGGCAUCAGUAUUCAAUUGUCAGAGGUGAAAUUCUUGGAUCUAUUGAAGACUAACUACUGCGAAAGCAUUUGCCAAGGAUGUUUUCAUUGAUAAGGAACGAAAGUUAGGGGAUCGAAGACGAUCAGAUACCGUCGUAGUCUUAACUAUAAACUAUGCCGACUAGGGAUCGGACGGUGUUUAUACUUGACCCGUUCGGCACCUUUCGAGAAAUCAAAGUGCUUGGGCUCCA
RNAcentral lists this ribosomal RNA (986 nucleotides) under Graphium fimbriasporum. RNAcentral's name for it is "partial 18S ribosomal RNA". It matches the Rfam family "Eukaryotic small subunit ribosomal RNA", at positions 116 to 1116 of the family's 1831-position model. Lineage: Eukaryota; Fungi; Ascomycota; Sordariomycetes; Microascales; Graphiaceae. The record is from RNAcentral.